RNAcentral lists this ribosomal RNA (453 nucleotides) under Triticum aestivum (bread wheat). Its description in RNAcentral is "partial small subunit ribosomal RNA". Lineage: Eukaryota; Viridiplantae; Streptophyta; Magnoliopsida; Poales; Poaceae. The record is from RNAcentral.
AUGGCGGGUGGAGUAGAUGGGCUACUUGUGGUGGCCUGGAAAGGGUGGGGGAUCGAAGUGAUGGUGCUCCUAAGCUUCACAGUGCAGGUCACGCUCCUCCUCUUUGCUGGUAUUCGUCGGCACAAAGACUCCAUCGUGCUAAAGUUCAUCAUUUGGUCAGCAUACAUGCUGGCCGACACGACGGCAUUAUACGCACUGGGACACAUGUCCUUACUGAGUAGGACGCCUGAGCACCAGCUCACGGCGCUCUGGGCGCCGUUGCUGCUGGUGCACCUUGGUGGCCAGGACAACAUAACUGCCUAUGCUAUCGAGGACAAUCGCUUGUGGCUACGUCACCUGCAGGCUUUCGGACUGCAGGUCCUUGCAUAUGUGUUGCAUGUGUCUUCCAUCUUCGGCAGCCGGACCUGGCUCCGUCCGGCCGCCAUCCUCAUGUUUGUGGUCGGGGUUCUCAAG